CGCCUCUUGAAUAUUUAUAAGAGGUCCAGCCUGCCCAGUGACCAUGUUCAACGGCCGCGGUAUCCUAACCGUGCGAAGGUAGCGUAAUCACUUGUUCUUUAAAUGUGGACUAGUAUGAAUGGCACCACGAAGAUUAUACUGUCUCCUUUUUCUAAUCAGUGAAACUAAUCUCCCCGUGAAGAAGCGGGAAUAAAGUUAUAAGACGAGAAGACCCUAUGGAGCUUAAAACAAUAUAGCACUUGCCACAUAGUAUAAAAAUUUCCGAAAUUUUAAUUUAUAUUGACAAUUUGACUAUAAGUUUUUGGUUGGGGUGACCGCGGAGAAUAGCACAACCUCCAUGAUGAAUGAACUGUUUCUAAACUAAGACCUACCGGUCUAAGUAUCAACAUAUUGACAUCCAUUGAUCCAAUAUAAUUGAACAACGAACCAAGUUACCCUAGGGAUAACAGCGCAAUCUACUUCAAGAGCUCCUAUCGACAAGUAGGUUUACGACCUCGAUGUUGGAUCAGGGUAUCCCAGUGGUGCAGCCGCUACUAAAGGUUCGUUUGUUCAACGAUUAAAACCCU
RNAcentral lists this ribosomal RNA (566 nucleotides) under Incilius porteri. Its description in RNAcentral is "partial 16S ribosomal RNA". It matches the Rfam family "Bacterial large subunit ribosomal RNA", at positions 1832 to 2597 of the family's 2925-position model. The record is from RNAcentral. Lineage: Eukaryota; Metazoa; Chordata; Amphibia; Anura; Bufonidae.